This 1172-nucleotide long non-coding RNA is filed under the name Cyanistes caeruleus (blue tit). Its description in RNAcentral is "lncRNA (ENSCCEG00000001920.1)". The record is from RNAcentral. Lineage: Eukaryota; Metazoa; Chordata; Aves; Passeriformes; Paridae.
GGCGGGCGGCUGCGCCGGCCCCGCGGAGAGGGCGCGAUGCGAAAUUAGCGAGCGAGGGUCGGUGCAGCCAGCGCACCUUAAGAGUCAGCGAGGCUGCGGUGUUCAAAGGAGUUUCUGAUUUAACAGAUGGUACCGCAGGAAAGAAACAGUUUGCGGAGGGAAAUUGUUAUGACACGGGUUUUUUGCUCUCUCGUAUGACAAUUUAUUCUGGUAAUUCUUUCAGUUUAGAAGACGUAUUUUAACUUAUUGUCAGUAACCAACAAAUACCAAAUAUGCCCCGAGAUUUUUGCCUCUGAAAAUGGGAUUUUAUAUUAAUUUUAAAAAUGCUUCUUUUGUUGUUCCGCUCACAUGUAAAUCGUUUUAACGCUACGUGUUCCAAAUAUUAGGGAAUGUAAAGUUUUUCACUUAACGUUGAAAGCGGCGUGGUGUAGCUAGUUUCUUUUCCUGUGCUCUAAACCGAGGAAAGGUUUCGGAAGCUGCUUCCCUAUUCAAAGGAAGCUUUUGGAUAUUUACAAAGUUGUAUUAAGGUAGUUUUCUAAUUAAAAUCAUAAUAGGGAAAGGGGAAUUUGAGGAGCUUAGUGUGUCAUUGGUGAGAGAACUGGACUGAAGGCCAGUACGGUGCUCUUGGUAGACAGUCUGCUCAUUUGGCAAUGCCUAUAAGUGUUGUCAGUCUAAUGACUCGACUUUUAACACUUCUAAGCCAUACUUACCUUUGCACAAUGACUUAGAUUUAAUGUAGUACUCGGACAUGAAUAUUCAUAUAAGCUGAAAUGUCUGCAUGUUAAGCCUCGUCAGAAUUUAGGUGUAUUUAAAAACAGUUACAGAUUCAGAAGAUGCCAUUCCUUUGUAUAUUCUUGCUGGAUUCCGCUCCUCUGCAACUCUUCAACUUUUCUCCCAGUGAAACUCCCACACCUUCACCCACCAAGGCAGCGCUCCCAGAGGAACAAUUGAUCCGUGGGCUUCUGAAAGCCAGUCUGUGUGAUUCGGCUUUGCAUGCUGAUGCAAAAAAGUGGUUUAUGUGAGACCAUUAGGGGAGUGUUUCAAGAAUGGUUGUACUUUGGAAGCCUAGUUUCAUAAAAUGACUUGGGAAUGGUUGGUUAAAGGUGAGCUACAAGAAUAACAUUUAAUUUCAACCUUCAAUUAAGGUAUUAACUAAUAGAGUUUGAGACAAA